UGAAUACGAGACGCUAAGGCGUCGAAGUAGUGUAUGUCAUACUUCCAAGAAAAGCUUGCACUGUCAUAGAUAAAAAACGCCUGUACCAUAACCGACACAGGUGGGUAGGUAGAGUAUACUAAGGGGCGCGAGAUAACUCUCUCUAAGGAACUCGGCAAAAUAACUCCGUAACUUCGGGAGAAGGAGUGCCUUAUUCUUAAGGUUGCAAUAACAAGAUCCAAGCAACUGUUUAUCAAAAACACAGGUCUCCGCUAAGUCGUAAGACGAUGUAUGGGGGCUGACGCCUGCCCAGUGCCAGAAGGUUAUAGAAGCUGGUUAGCAUUUGCGAAGCUAGUAACUGAAGCCCUGGUGAACGGCGGCCGUAACGAUAACGGUCCUAAGGUAGCGAAAUUCCUUGUCGGGUAAGUUCCGACCCGCACGAAAGGCGUAAUGAUUUGGAUACUGUCUCGGAGAGGGGCUCGGUGAAAUAGACUUGUCUGUGAAGAUGCGGACUACCUGCACCAGGACAGAAAGACCCUAUGAAGCUUUACUGUAACUUGAAAUUGAAAUUGGACUUUAUUCGCGCAGUAUAGGUGGGAGGCGUUGAUUAUAAUCUUGCGGGAUUAUUGGAGCCAUUAGUGAGAUACCACUCUUGUAAUGUUAGAUUUCUAACUUUGAAUCAUUAUCUGGUCAAAGAACAGUUUCAGGCGGGCAGUUUGACUGGGGCGGUCGCCUCCUAAACGGUAACGGAGGCGUGCAAAGGUUUCCUCUGAACGGUUAGAAAUCGUAUCUAGAGUGUAAAGGCAUAAGGAAGCUUGACUGUGAGACCUACAAGUCGAGCAGGGACGAAAGUCGGUCUUAGUGAUCUGACGGUACUGAGUGGAAAGGCCGUCACUCAACGGAUAAAAGUUACUCUAGGAUAACAGGCUGAUCUCCCCCAAGAGUUCACAUCGACGGGGAGGUUUGGCACCUCGAUGUCGGCUCAUCGCAUCCUGGGGCGGUAGUACGUCCCAAGGGUUGGGCUGUUCGCCCAUGAAAGCGGUACGCGAGCUGGGUUCAGAACGUCGUGAGACAGUUCGGUCCAUAUCCGGUGUAGGCGUUAGAAUAUUGAGAGGAGCCUUCUUUAGUACGAGAGGACCGAGAAGGACAUACCUCUGGUGUACCAGUUAUCGUGCCAACGGUAAACGCUGGGUAGCUAUGUAUGGAGUGGAUAACCGCUGAAAGCAUCUAAGUGGGAAGCCCACCUCAAGAUAAGUAUUCUCAUC
This 1244-nucleotide ribosomal RNA is filed under the name metagenome. RNAcentral describes it as "bacterial LSU rRNA". It matches the Rfam family "Bacterial large subunit ribosomal RNA", at positions 1564 to 2818 of the family's 2925-position model. The record is from RNAcentral.